GAGGGUAGAGCUCAGUGGUAGAGCGCGUGCUUAGCAUGCACAAGGUCCUGGGUUCAAUCCCCAGCACCUCCA
RNAcentral lists this transfer RNA (72 nucleotides) under Camelus bactrianus (Bactrian camel). It matches the Rfam family "tRNA". Rfam says of the family: Transfer RNA (tRNA) molecules are approximately 80 nucleotides in length. Their secondary structure includes four short double-helical elements and three loops (D, anti-codon, and T loops). The record is from Rfam by way of RNAcentral. RNAcentral also lists the same sequence under 1 other name. Lineage: Eukaryota; Metazoa; Chordata; Mammalia; Artiodactyla; Camelidae.